GACGAACGCUGGCGGCGUGCUUAACACAUGCAAGUCGAGCGGUAAGGCCCUUUCGGGGGUACACGAGCGGCGAACGGGUGAGUAACACGUGGGUGACCUGCCCUUAGCUCUGGGAUAAGCCUGGGAAACUGGGUCUAAUACCGGAUAUGACUCCAUGACGCAUGUUGUGGGGUGAAAGCCUUGUGCGGCUAGGGAUGGGCCCGCGGCCUAUCAGCUUGUUGGUGGGGUGAUGGCCACCAAGGCGACGACGGGUAGCCGGCCUGAGAGGGCGACCGGCCACACUGGGACUGAGACACGGCCCAGACUCCUACGGGAGGGCAGCAGUGGGGAAUCUUGCGCAAUGGGCGAAAGCCUGACGCAGCGACGCCGCGUGGGGAUGACGGCC
RNAcentral lists this ribosomal RNA (385 nucleotides) under uncultured bacterium. RNAcentral describes it as "bacterial SSU rRNA". It matches the Rfam family "Bacterial small subunit ribosomal RNA", at positions 28 to 416 of the family's 1533-position model. The record is from RNAcentral.